ACAUGUACAUAAAUGUUUUCAUAAAACAACAAUCUAUAAACAAAACUAUAAACUAUAAACUAUAAACAAAAAUGAAAUGUUACCUAAAAUAUGUGUAUGUAUAUUAGAGUGCCAAUGGAAUAAGCAUCUCAAAUUUUCAAACGGGAUUUUCCUAAAAAUGUUGAUUCUCACGAAAAACGACCAUAUGCAAAAAAUCAGCUCAAUCGCAAAUUAAAACUUUGACGGCUGUGUGACACAAGUAAAUAAAGUUAAAAAUUUUUUAUUUUUUUGGCCAUUAUAGCAUAUUAUAUAUUUUAGGCCGUAAAUCGAAAACGUGCCACAAUAGAAGAGCGAAACAGCCGUUGUAGCGAAAUGCCGUAUAAAGAGCGGCCGUAUAGCGAGGUAUGGGUGUACAGCUUCGCUUUGCGGCCAAGUUUCAUGGGACGUAUCUAGGCCGUAAAGCGAGGUAUGGGUGUAAUUGCAUUCUACACAAUAUACUUCAAUUCAACCGACUUCUUACUAUCUCCUGGAGACUCAGAGAAAUGGAGUUGUUCUAUAGUUAUGAAAUGCAGUGUAUGUUAAGAAUUACUACAUACUUACAUGGUUCUGAGGGGCAGUUUCAAAAUGUGCCAAUUCCUGUUCUUUUUUUGCUAACGCAUUAAUAGUAAUCCCACACUUUUUUAGGAAGAUAAACUCGGAUGAAAAUUGUUAUGUAGUGUAUGUAAUGGUCUCACAUUGGAGGAUAGAAAGAAAUGUUCACUCAACAUAGUUUAUAUUUUUUCUAGUAGGACUGAAUAUUUCAAAAGAACUCACGGUAAUAUUUUGCAUGAUUCUAUUCAUAACAACAAUUUCCAUCAAAUAACAAGAGCACGUUCUCGUUGUACGAAUGUUUGAGAAGCGUGAACACUUAUCGCUAGCGGAUGUAUGUGGUUCAUCAAUAUGAAACAAAUAUUGAGACAUUAGUACGAUAAAUGAUUCACAAUCAAGAGAGAGGAUGUACUCUGUGGUUUCGAGUGCGUCUACCUCGCACGAUAACCAAAGUAAAACUUUGCUUUCGUAACCAUUGCAACAAGCAAAAAUCAUUCCAAUUUGAAUCGCGAUUAUGAGCGGUUGGUGCAACUUUUGUGAAUAAGAAACUACAGCUAAUUUCUUCACGUAUCACGUGUUCAACCAUAAGUCUCCAUAGCAAACAAGAUGAAGUGGAGCCGCUUGUUUAUGUCCGCCAGUAAAAAGGCGAGUUCGCCCGAUAAGAGGCAAACAGCCAACAUUGGACUGAAAUCGAUUCGAAGCAAAGCAUGUUGCAGCAAAUGUGCGCUUCUGUGUAAAUGCACCCACCAUAAGCGUACUAUGCGAGCCAUUCCAGUGAGUCACUUCACCGGAGGGAUUUUGCCCUAAUGCCAUUGGAAGCAAAAUUGAAUACAAUAUAAAAUCAAUCGCUUCUGCUCAACAUCAAAUGAAAUAAAAUAAUUCGAACACAUAA
Long non-coding RNA from Toxorhynchites rutilus septentrionalis, 1459 nucleotides. RefSeq lists it as uncharacterized. The record is from RefSeq and is a predicted model, not a curated record. Lineage: Eukaryota; Metazoa; Arthropoda; Insecta; Diptera; Culicidae. The transcript has 2 exons.